AGACCCGAAACCCGGUGAUCUAGCCAUGGGCAGGUUGAAGGUUGGGUAACACUAACUGGAGGACCGAACCGACUAAUGUUGAAAAAUUAGCGGAUGACCUGUGGCUGGGGGUGAAAGGCCAAUCAAACCGGGAGAUAGCUGGUUCUCCCCGAAAGCUAUUUAGGUAGCGCCUCGUGAAUUCAUCUCCGGGGGUAGAGCACUGUUUCGGCUAGGGGGCCAUCCCGGCUUACCAACCCGAUGCAAACUGCGAAUACCGGAGAAUGUUAUCACGGGAGACACACGGCGGGUGCUAACGUCCGUCGUGAAGAGGGAAACAACCCAGACCGCCAGCUAAGGUCCCAAAGUCAUGGUUAAGUGGGAAACGAUGUGGGAAGGCCCAGACAGCCAGGAUGUUGGCUUAGAAGCAGCCAUCAUUUAAAGAAAGCGUAAUAGCUCACUGGUCGAGUCGGCCUGCGCGGAAGAUGUAACGGGGCUAAACCAUGCACCGAAGCUGCGGCAGCGACACUCAGGUGUUGUUGGGUAGGGGAGCGUUCUGUAAGCCUGUGAAGGUGGCCUGUGAGGGUUGCUGGAGGUAUCAGAAGUGCGAAUGCUGACAUAAGUAACGAUAAAGCGGGUGAAAAGCCCGCUCGCCGGAAGACCAAGGGUUCCUGUCCAACGUUAAUCGGGGCAGGGU
This 673-nucleotide ribosomal RNA is filed under the name Salmonella enterica subsp. enterica serovar Newport. RNAcentral describes it as "partial 23S ribosomal RNA". It matches the Rfam family "Bacterial large subunit ribosomal RNA", at positions 711 to 1380 of the family's 2925-position model. Lineage: Bacteria; Pseudomonadati; Pseudomonadota; Gammaproteobacteria; Enterobacterales; Enterobacteriaceae. The record is from RNAcentral.